UACGUGGGGGGCAAGCGUUGUUCGGAAUUACUGGGCGUAAAGGGCUCGUAGGCGGCCAACUAAGUCAUACGUGAAAUCCCUCGGCUUAACCGGGGAACUGCGUCUGAUACUGGAUGGCUUGAGAUUGGGAGAGGGAUGCGGAAUUCCAGGUGUAGCGGUGAAAUGCGUAGAUAUCUGGAGGAACACCGGUGGCGAAGGCGGUUCUCUGGGAAUGUUCUGACGCUGAGGAGCGAAAGUGUGGGGAGCGAACAGG
RNAcentral lists this ribosomal RNA (253 nucleotides) under uncultured bacterium. RNAcentral describes it as "partial 16S ribosomal RNA". It matches the Rfam family "Bacterial small subunit ribosomal RNA", at positions 524 to 776 of the family's 1533-position model. The record is from RNAcentral.